GAUGAACGCUGGCGGCGUGCUUAACACAUGCCAGUCGAACGGGAAUUAUUUUAUUGACACUUCGGUCGAUUUAAUUUAAUUCUAGUGGCGGACGGGUGAGUAACGCGUGGGUAACCUGCCUUAUACAGGGGGAUAACAGUCAGAAAUGGCUGCUAAUACCGCAUAAGCGCACAGAGCUGCAUGGCCCAGUGUGAAAAACUCCGGUGGUAUAAGAUGGACCCGCGUUGGAUUAGCUUGUUGGCAGGGUAACGGCCUACCAAGGCGACGAUCCAUAGCCGGCCUGAGAGGGUGAACGGCCACAUUGGGACUGAGACACGGCCCAGACUCCUACGGGAGGCAGCAGUGGGGAAUAUUGCACAAUGGGGGAAACCCUGAUGCAGCGACGCCGCGUGAAGGAAGAAGUAUCUCGGUAUGUAAACUUCUAUCAGCAGGGAAGAUAGUGACGGUACCUGACUAAGAAGCCCCGGCUAACUACGUG
This 478-nucleotide ribosomal RNA is filed under the name uncultured bacterium. Its description in RNAcentral is "partial 16S ribosomal RNA". It matches the Rfam family "Bacterial small subunit ribosomal RNA", at positions 28 to 507 of the family's 1533-position model. The record is from RNAcentral.